CAGUCGCCACGGUAAUACGUAGGGGGCAAGCGUUAUCCGGAAUUAUUGGGCGUAAAGAGUACGUAGGUGGCUAUAUAAGCGCAUGGUGAAAGGCAGAGGCUUAACCACUGUUAGCCUUGCGAACUGUAUAGCUUGAGUAUGGAAGAGGUGAGUGGAAUUCCGAGUGUAGAGGUGAAAUUCGUAGAUAUUCGGAGGAACACCAGUGGCGAAGGCGGCUCACUGGUCCAUUACUGACGCUGAGGUGCGAAAGCGUGGGGAGCAAACAGGAUUAGAUACCCCAGUAGUCCCUGUCUCUUAUACA
This 301-nucleotide ribosomal RNA is filed under the name uncultured bacterium. Its description in RNAcentral is "partial 16S ribosomal RNA". It matches the Rfam family "Bacterial small subunit ribosomal RNA", at positions 509 to 808 of the family's 1533-position model. The record is from RNAcentral.